AACUGAUGCAUUAUUGAGCACACAGUAUGAGACGGAUAUAUCUGAUAUUAUUCACAGUUUAGUGACACAGGAGACUGGAUAUAUACAUCUGGGUGAUGAUGCAAUAUUGAGAUCAUAUAGUCAAUCUGGUGAGGUGCUUGAUUUUGCAAGAUUUAACAGCACUCAGCUGCAAUUUAUUACUAGCUGGUUUUCAAAGGAGCAUCAGGAUCAUUUAUUGGAACUCUGGAAGAAUGUUGACAAUUUGUUGAUUGACGACCGGCAGAUCUGGUAUCCUCCUGAUCACUUGAAAUUUCAUCCUUCCCAAUUACCAAUGACAAGGAAUCCUGGUCUACGGGGUCGUUCACCUGCACCACCAUUUCAUGCAUUUUGUGAGGAACUGUGGUGUGAUUCGCAUGCUUUCUGUCUUCUCCGAUCUUGUUCAUAUUGCUUUAUGAUCAAUAGAGUGGGUGAUCCCCAUUGUGUUCUUAAUCGCAACAGAUAGUAUGGCAGCCUAUGGGGUUUUUUGGUGUUUUAGUUAUGUAAUUCCACUUAUAGACACUUAUAGAAAUUUAGAUGAAAGUUUGUCUACAGCAGAAAUAUAAUAAAAAAAUAAAAUAAAAUCAAAAAAUAUUUUGAGAAAAACCAAUAUUUAUAAAAUG
This 638-nucleotide small RNA is filed under the name Histoplasma capsulatum var. duboisii H88. RNAcentral describes it as "Histoplasma capsulatum H88 hypothetical RNA". The record is from RNAcentral. Lineage: Eukaryota; Fungi; Ascomycota; Eurotiomycetes; Onygenales; Ajellomycetaceae.